GAUGAACGCUGGCGGCGUGCUUAACACAUGCAAGUCGAACGGGAAACCUUUUAUUGAAGCUUCGGCAGAUUUAGCUGGUUUCUAGUGGCGGACGGGUGAGUAACGCGUGGGUAACCUGCCUUAUACAGGGGGAUAACAGUCAGAAAUGACUGCUAAUACCGCAUCAGCGCACAGGAUCGCAUGGUCCGGUGUGAAAAACUCCGGUGGUAUAAGAUGGACCCGCGUUGGAUUAGCUUGCUGGUGGGGUAACGGCUCACCAAGGCGACGAUCCAUAGCCGGCCUGAGAGGGUGAACGGCCACAUUGGGACUGAGACACGGCCCAGACUCCUACGGGAGGCAGCAGUGGGGAAUAUUGCACAAUGGGGGAAACCCUGAUGCAGCGACGCCGCGUGAAGGAAGAAGUAUCUCGGUAUGUAAACUUCUAUCAGCAGGGAAGAUAGUGACGGUACCUGACUAAGAAGCCCCGGCUAACUACGUG
RNAcentral lists this ribosomal RNA (478 nucleotides) under uncultured bacterium. RNAcentral describes it as "partial 16S ribosomal RNA". It matches the Rfam family "Bacterial small subunit ribosomal RNA", at positions 28 to 507 of the family's 1533-position model. The record is from RNAcentral.